UACGCCGUAAACGAUGGAUACUAGCAUUCGGAGGUGUCGACCCCUUCGGUAGCGAAGCUAACGCGUUAAGUAUCCCGCCUGUGUAGUACGAGCGCAAGCUUAAAACAUAAAGGAAUUGACGGGGACCCGCACAAGCGGUGGAGCGUGUUCUUUAAUUCGAGGCUAAGCGAAGAACCUUACCAGGGCUUGAAAUCCUGCGAAGGUUUGCGAAAGCAGACUGUGCCUUCGGGAACGCAGUGACAGGUGU
This 247-nucleotide ribosomal RNA is filed under the name uncultured Candidatus Saccharibacteria bacterium. RNAcentral describes it as "partial 16S ribosomal RNA". It matches the Rfam family "Bacterial small subunit ribosomal RNA", at positions 796 to 1041 of the family's 1533-position model. Lineage: Bacteria; Candidatus Saccharimonadota. The record is from RNAcentral.